RNAcentral lists this ribosomal RNA (549 nucleotides) under uncultured beta proteobacterium. RNAcentral describes it as "bacterial SSU rRNA". It matches the Rfam family "Bacterial small subunit ribosomal RNA", at positions 355 to 896 of the family's 1533-position model. The record is from RNAcentral. Lineage: Bacteria; Pseudomonadati; Pseudomonadota; Betaproteobacteria.
UGGGGAAUUUUGGACAAUGGGCGAAAGCCUGAUCCAGCAUACCGCGUGCAGGAAGAAGGCCUUCGGGUUGUAAACUGCUUUUGUACGGAACGAAACGGUCUGGAUUAAUACUCUGGGCUAAUGACGGUACCGCUAAGAAUAAGCACCGGCUAACUACGUGCCAGCAGCCGCGGUAAUACGUAGGGUGCAAGCGUUAAUCGGAAUUACUGGGCGUAAAGCGUGCGCAGGCGGUUUUGUAAGACAGGCGUGAAAUCCCCGGGCUCAACCUGGGAAUUGCGCUUGUGACUGCAAGGCUAGAGUACGGUAGAGGGGGGUAGAAUUCCGCGUGUAGCAGUGAAAUGCGUAGAUAUGCGGAGGAACACCGAUGGCGAAGGCAGCCCUCUGGACCUGUACUGACGCUCAUGCACGAAAGCGUGGGGAGCAAACAGGAUUAGAUACCCCUGGUAGUCCACGCCCUAAACGAUGUCAAACUGGUUGUUGGGAAUUUACUUUCUCAGUAAUCGAAGCUAACGCGUAAGUGACCGCCUGGGGAGUACAGCCGCAAGGUGG